GACCGCUGGCGGCGUGCCUAAUACCUGCAAGUCGCGCGAACAGACGAGGAGCUUGCUCCUCUGACGUUAGCGGCGGACGGGUGAGUAACACGUGGAUAACCUACCUAUAAGACUGGGAUAACUUCGGGAAACCGGAGCUAAUACCGGAUAAUAUAUUGAACCGCAUGGUUCAAUAGUGAAAGACGGUUUUGCUGUCACUUAUAGAUGGAUCCGCGCCGCAUUAGCUAGUUGGUAAGGUAACGGCUUACCAAGGCAACGAUGCGUAGCCGACCUGAGAGGGUGAUCGGCCACACUGGAACUGAGACACGGUCCAGACUCCUACGGGAGGCAGCAGUAGGGAAUCUUCCGCAAUGGGCGAAAGCCUGACGGAGCAACGCCGCGUGAGUGAUGAAGGUCUUCGGAUCGUAAAACUCUGUUAUUAGGGAAGAACAAAUGUGUAAGUAACUAUGCACGUCUUGACGGUACCUAAUCAGAAAGCCACGGCUAACUACGUG
Molecule: ribosomal RNA, 494 nt
Filed under: uncultured bacterium
Lineage: Bacteria
Description: partial 16S ribosomal RNA
Rfam family: Bacterial small subunit ribosomal RNA
Source: RNAcentral